Molecule: ribosomal RNA, 498 nt
Filed under: uncultured bacterium
Lineage: Bacteria
Description: partial 16S ribosomal RNA
Rfam family: Bacterial small subunit ribosomal RNA
Source: RNAcentral
GAUGAACGCUGGCGGCGUGCCUAAUACAUGCAAGUCGAGCGAACAGACGAGAGUGCUUGCACUCUCUGACGUUAGCGGCGGACGGGUGAGUAACACGUGGGUAACCUACCUAUAAGACUGGGAUAACUUCGGGAAACCGGAGCUAAUACCGGAUAAUAUUUAGCUUCGCAUGAAGCAAUAGUGAAAGACGGUUCUGCUGUCACUUAUAGAUGGACCCGCGGUGUAUUAGCUGGUUGGUGAGGUAACGGCUCACCAAGGCAACGAUAUAUAGCCGACCUGAGAGGGUGAUCGGCCACACUGGGACUGAGACACGGCCCAGACUCCUACGGGAGGCAGCAGUAGGGAAUCUUCCGCAGCGGACGAAAGUCUGACGGAGCAAUGCCGCGUGAGUGAAGAAGGUUUUCGGAUCGUAAAACUCUGUUGUAAGGGAAGAACAAGUACGUUAGUAACUGAACGUACCUUGACGGUACCUUACCAGAAAGCCACGGCUAACUACGU